AUUAUUGUUAUACCAUAUUUGGUCUAUCCGAUGACAUAUCCGAUCUUUGAGUAUAUGGCGGACACCUGAUGUCAUGAUGAGGACAGCCCGGGAUACAUGCCCUACACAAUAGCAAUGUCAUUAGCAAAGGAUCGACCACAUGAGGUCGGCACUUAGACAAAAUUAGAGUCAUUAGCUUUUGACUGAUUUAGCCUCAUCGCCAUCCCGAAUUUCUACAAGCUAUGCUGUGAUCCUAUAAAGUGGCCCACAGAUCGGAAACCAUAGAUAACCACUGGAGCACGGA
This 283-nucleotide long non-coding RNA is filed under the name Elaeis guineensis (African oil palm). RNAcentral's name for it is "long non-coding RNA (EGUI_LNC033263)". The record is from RNAcentral. Lineage: Eukaryota; Viridiplantae; Streptophyta; Magnoliopsida; Arecales; Arecaceae.